UUGCACAAUGGGCGAAAGCCUGAUGCAGCAACGCCGCGUGAGUGAUGAAGGCUUUCGGGUUGUAAAGCUCUGUCUUCUGGGACGAUAAUGACGGUACCUGAGGAGGAAGCCACGGCUAACUACGUGCCAGCAGCCGCGGUAAUACGUAGGUGGCAAGCGUUGUCCGGAUUUACUGGGCGUAAAGGAUGCGUAGGCGGAUACUUAAGUCAGAUGUGAAAAUCCCGGGCUUAAAUUGGGAACUGCAUUUGAAACUGGGUAUCUAGAGUGCGGAAGAGGAAAGUGGAAUUCCUAGUGUAGCGGUGAAAUGCGUAGAGAUUAGGAAGAACACCAGUGGCGAAGGCGACUUUCUGAACCGUAACUGACGCUGAGGCAUGAAAGCGUGGGGAGCAAACA
This 393-nucleotide ribosomal RNA is filed under the name uncultured bacterium. RNAcentral describes it as "bacterial SSU rRNA". It matches the Rfam family "Bacterial small subunit ribosomal RNA", at positions 364 to 774 of the family's 1533-position model. The record is from RNAcentral.